This 473-nucleotide ribosomal RNA is filed under the name uncultured bacterium. Its description in RNAcentral is "SSU rRNA". It matches the Rfam family "Bacterial small subunit ribosomal RNA", at positions 26 to 518 of the family's 1533-position model. The record is from RNAcentral.
AGGAUAAACGCUGGCGGCGUGCCUAACACAUGCAAGUCGAACGUCUCUUCUUUCGGGAAGAGGAGUGGCGGACGGGUGAGGAACACGUGGGAACCUGCCCUUCAGUGAGGAAUACCGGCGAGAAAUCGCCGACAAGACCGCAUAGCCCUCUCUGGUGAGAGCCAGAGAAGGAAAGCCUCGCAAGAGGCGCUGGAGGAGGGGCCUGCGUCCGAUUAGCUAGUUGGUGGGGUAAGAGCCUACCAAGGCGUCGAUCGGUAGCUGGUCUGAGAGGACGAUCAGCCACACUGGGGAUUGAGAACGGCCCAGACUCCUACGGGGGGCAGCAGUGAGGAAUUUUCGGCAAUGGGGGAAACCCUGACCGAGCAACGCCGCGUGCAGGAAGACGGCCUUCGGGUUGUAAACUGCUUUUCUCUGGGACGAGAGCGGACGGUACCAGAGGAAGAACGCCCGGCUAACUACGUGCCAGCAGCCGC